RNAcentral lists this ribosomal RNA (1554 nucleotides) under Alistipes onderdonkii. RNAcentral describes it as "bacterial SSU rRNA". It matches the Rfam family "Bacterial small subunit ribosomal RNA". The record is from RNAcentral. Lineage: Bacteria; Pseudomonadati; Bacteroidota; Bacteroidia; Bacteroidales; Rikenellaceae.
AAAUUGAAGAGUUUGAUCAUGGCUCAGAUUGAACGCUGGCGGCAGGCUUAACACAUGCAAGUCGAACGGUAACAGGAAUCAGCUUGCUGAUUCGCUGACGAGUGGCGGACGGGUGAGUAAUGUCUGGGAAGCUGCCUGAUGGAGGGGGAUAACUACUGGAAACGGUAGCUAAUACCGCAUAACGUCGCAAGACCAAAGAGGGGAACCUUCGGGCCUCUUGCCAUCGGAUGUGCCCAGAUGGGAUUAGCUAGUAGGUGGGGUAACGGCUCACCUAGGCGACGAUCCCUAGCUGGUCUGAGAGGAUGACCAGCCACACUGGAACUGAGACACGGUCCAGACUCCUACGGGAGGCAGCAGUGGGGAAUAUUGCACAAUGGGCGCAAGCCUGAUGCAGCCAUGCCGCGUGUAUGAAGAAGGCCUUCGGGUUGUAAAGUACUUUCAGCGGGGAGGAAGGGAGUAAAGUUAAUACCUUUGCUCAUUGACGUUACCCGCAGAAGAAGCACCGGCUAACUCCGUGCCAGCAGCCGCGGUAAUACGGAGGGUGCAAGCGUUAAUCGGAAUUACUGGGCGUAAAGCGCACGCAGGCGGUUUGUUAAGUCAGAUGUGAAAUCCCCGGGCUCAACCUGGGAACUGCAUCUGAUACUGGCAAGCUUGAGUCUCGUAGAGGGGGGUAGAAUUCCAGGUGUAGCGGUGAAAUGCGUAGAGAUCUGGAGGAAUACCGGUGGCGAAGGCGGCCCCCUGGACGAAGACUGACGCUCAGGUGCGAAAGCGUGGGGAGCAAACAGGAUUAGAUACCCUGGUAGUCCACGCCGUAAACGAUGUCGACUUGGAGGUUGUGCCCUUGAGGCGUGGCUUCCGGAGCUAACGCGUUAAGUCGACCGCCUGGGGAGUACGGCCGCAAGGUUAAAACUCAAAUGAAUUGACGGGGGCCCGCACAAGCGGUGGAGCAUGUGGUUUAAUUCGAUGCAACGCGAAGAACCUUACCUGGUCUUGACAUCCACAGAACUUUCCAGAGAUGGAUUGGUGCCUUCGGGAACUGUGAGACAGGUGCUGCAUGGCUGUCGUCAGCUCGUGUUGUGAAAUGUUGGGUUAAGUCCCGCAACGAGCGCAACCCUUAUCCUUUGUUGCCAGCGGUCCGGCCGGGAACUCAAAGGAGACUGCCAGUGAUAAACUGGAGGAAGGUGGGGAUGACGUCAAGUCAUCAUGGCCCUUACGACCAGGGCUACACACGUGCUACAAUGGCGCAUACAAAGAGAAGCGACCUCGCGAGAGCAAGCGGACCUCAUAAAGUGCGUCGUAGUCCGGAUUGGAGUCUGCAACUCGACUCCAUGAAGUCGGAAUCGCUAGUAAUCGUGGAUCAGAAUGCCACGGUGAAUACGUUCCCGGGCCUUGUACACACCGCCCGUCACACCAUGGGAGUGGGUUGCAAAAGAAGUAGGUAGCUUAACCUUCGGGAGGGCGCUUACCACUUUGUGAUUCAUGACUGGGGUGAAGUCGUAACAAGGUAACCGUAGGGGAACCUGCGGUUGGAUCACCUCCUUACCUUAAAGAAGC